AUGCAAUGAACCCCUCCCCAUAAGUUACAGCUCCAGGCAUGCCUGCCAUAGACUUCUUCUGGCCCUUGUCAGAGCCACCCUCUCCCAGUACCCAUGAGGAACUGCGUGUGCCCGGGGGUGGCUGGCAGCAGUAGGCACCAUAUGGCUGCCAUGGAGGCGGUCUUUUGGGGAGAAGGGAAAUCUUGGAGACAGUCUACAGGCUGGAUGGAACUCCCAGCCCUGCAGAGGAAGCUCUUGUCUGGCACUUGCCUGUAGCUGUCUCAGUGGUCAUGGCUCCUACAAAGAGACCCCAUGUGGCCAAGAGGACAGUCUAUCACCCAGCCUUGGGGACUCAGUCUUUUGCUGGCAGCUGUGAGUUAGGGUGUGGUGGCCAUGUUGGGUCCAGAAGAUACUGCUUCCCCGUUCUCCAUCCAGUUCUUACAUUCUUGCCUCUUCUGUGCUGUUCUCAGAGCCUUAGAGAGAGUGACAUAGAUGUCUAAUUUAGGGCUGAGAGCUCACCAGUCACUUGCUCCCCACACUUGGAUCAGCUGUGAGUGUCGCCCUGACUGCCAGUUACCAGGAGCAGCGUGUUCUUUUAAGCAGCUUUAAAUAAUUUCCUUUUGACUUGCAGAUAUGAUUAGUUCCCUUCACAAAUCCUUCUUCUGAGAGAGGGGAGGUGUAUGGCCAAAGUUUACUUGUCUGAAUUAUUUCUUAUUCCGAAAGAGUAGGUUCCAAAUCAACGCUACUGACUGCUCUAUUCAGUCAGCUCAAGGACGGCCAGUAGGUGAACAAAAAUCAAUGGAGAGCAAGUCUCAGAAGUGUCAGAGAAGGGCAAACAUAUUUGACAAAAAAA
This 832-nucleotide long non-coding RNA is filed under the name Mus spretus (western wild mouse). Its description in RNAcentral is "predicted gene 13849 (ENSMSPG00010021904.1)". The record is from RNAcentral. Lineage: Eukaryota; Metazoa; Chordata; Mammalia; Rodentia; Muridae.